This 1346-nucleotide ribosomal RNA is filed under the name uncultured bacterium. RNAcentral describes it as "partial 16S ribosomal RNA". It matches the Rfam family "Bacterial small subunit ribosomal RNA", at positions 28 to 1381 of the family's 1533-position model. The record is from RNAcentral.
GACGAACGCUGGCGGCGUGCUUAACACAUGCAAGUCGAACGGAAAGGCCCUGCUUUUGUGGGGUGCUCGAGUGGCGAACGGGUGAGUAACACGUGAGUAACCUGCCCUUGACUUUGGGAUAACUUCAGGAAACUGGGGCUAAUACCGGAUAGGAGCUCCUGCUGCAUGGUGGGGGUUGGAAAGUUUCGGCGGUUGGGGAUGGACUCGCGGCUUAUCAGCUUGUUGGUGGGGUAGUGGCUUACCAAGGCUUUGACGGGUAGCCGGCCUGAGAGGGUGACCGGCCACAUUGGGACUGAGAUACGGCCCAGACUCCUACGGGAGGCAGCAGUGGGGAAUAUUGCACAAUGGGCGGAAGCCUGAUGCAGCAACGCCGCGUGCGGGAUGACGGCCUUCGGGUUGUAAACCGCUUUCGCCUGUGACGAAGCGUGAGUGACGGUAAUGGGUAAAGAAGCACCGGCUAACUACGUGCCAGCAGCCGCGGUGAUACGUAGGGUGCGAGCGUUGUCCGGAUUUAUUGGGCGUAAAGGGCUCGUAGGUGGUUGAUCGCGUCGGAAGUGUAAUCUUGGGGCUUAACCCUGAGCGUGCUUUCGAUACGGGUUGACUUGAGAAGGUAGGGGGAGAAUGGAAUUCCUGGUGGAGCGGUGGAAUGCGCAGAUAUCAGGAGGAACACCAGUGGCGAAGGCGGUUCUCUGGGCCUUUCCUGACGCUGAGGAGCGAAAGCGUGGGGAGCGAACAGGCUUAGAUACCCUGGUAGUCCACGCUGUAAACGGUGGGUACUAGGUGUGGGGUCCAUUCCACGGGUUCCGUGCCGUAGCUAACGCUUUAAGUACCCCGCCUGGGGAGUACGGCCGCAAGGCUAAAACUCAAAGGAAUUGACGGGGCCCCGCACAAGCGGCGGAGCAUGCGGAUUAAUUCGAUGCAACGCGUAGAACCUUACCUGGGUUUGACAUGGAUCGGGAGUGCUCAGAGAUGGGUGUGCCUCUUUUGGGGUCGGUUCACAGGUGGUGCAUGGCUGUCGUCAGCUCGUGUCGUGAGAUGUUGGGUUAAGUCCCGCAACGAGCGCAACCCUUGUUCACUGUUGCCAGCACGUUAUGGUGGGGACUCAGUGGAGACCGCCGGGGUCAACUCGGAGGAAGGUGGGGAUGACGUCAAGUCAUCAUGCCCCUUAUGUCCAGGGCUUCACGCAUGCUACAAUGGCUGGUACAGAGAGUGGCGAGCCUGUGAGGGUGAGCGAAUCUCGGAAAGCCGGUCUCAGUUCGGAUUGGGGUCUGCAACUCGACCUCAUGAAGUCGGAGUCGCUAGUAAUCGCAGAUCAGCAACGCUGCGGUGAAUACGUUCCCGGGGCU